GGCGUGCCUAAUACAUGCAAGUCGAACGCUUCUUUUUCCACCGGAGCUUGCUCCACCGGAAAAAGAGGAGUGGCGAACGGGUGAGUAACACGUGGGUAACCUGCCCAUCAGAAGGGGAUAACACUUGGAAACAGGUGCUAAUACCGUAUAACAAUCGAAACCGCAUGGUUUUGAUUUGAAAGGCGCUUUCGGGUGUCGCUGAUGGAUGGACCCGCGGUGCAUUAGCUAGUUGGUGAGGUAACGGCUCACCAAGGCGACGAUGCAUAGCCGACCUGAGAGGGUGAUCGGCCACAUUGGGACUGAGACACGGCCCAAACUCCUACGGGAGGCAGCAGUAGGGAAUCUUCGGCAAUGGACGAAAGUCUGACCGAGCAACGCCGCGUGAGUGAAGAAGGUUUUCGGAUCGUAAAACUCUGUUGUUAGAGAAGAACAAGGAUGAGAGUAACUGUUCAUCCCUUGACGGUAUCUAACCAGAAAGCCACGGCUAACUACGUGCCAGCAGCCGCGGUAAUACGUAGGUGGCAAGCGUUGUCCGGAUUUAUUGGGCGUAAAGCGAGCGCAGGCGGUUUCUUAAGUCUGAUGUGAAAGCCCCCGGCUCAACCGGGGAGGGUCAUUGGAAACUGGGAGACUUGAGUGCAGAAGAGGGAAGUGGAAUUC
This 657-nucleotide ribosomal RNA is filed under the name Enterococcus hirae. RNAcentral's name for it is "bacterial SSU rRNA". It matches the Rfam family "Bacterial small subunit ribosomal RNA", at positions 41 to 669 of the family's 1533-position model. Lineage: Bacteria; Bacillati; Bacillota; Bacilli; Lactobacillales; Enterococcaceae. The record is from RNAcentral.